GGGAGAGUAGAGAUUGAGAGAGAGCGCUUGGGCUAACCUUGGCCGAGAGGAAGAAGAAUUGAGAAGGAAAGCUGGGCGGCCAUGGCCGCAAGCAACCAGCUUGCAGCAGCCAUUGCGACGAGCAGGAGGGGCCGACGAAGCAGCAGCGCGGUGGCAGCGGGCAGCUUUAAGCUGCCGAUCGGCCAAGGGGGUGGCUCGCGGUGGCGUGAGGAGGCUCAAGGGGGCGUGCAGCGGCGGCCGGGGAAGACAGGCGUGGCCAUGGCAGCAACCAGUUACAGCGAGGAGCAACCAGCCGCGGCCGCGAGCGGCUGCCAACAGCAGUCGCGGUUGUGUCCAGGGAGGCUGACGGAGGCGCUGUGGGUAGCGAGGGAGGCAGCAGCAAGUGGUGCGGCGGCUGUGCGCCCUGGUGCGAUGCAGCGAAAGGAGAAGAAAUGAGAGGAAAAAGAAGGAGAAUAAUAAUAAUAAUAAUAAUAAUAAUAAGAAGAAGAAGAAGAAGAAGAAGAAGAAGAAAAGGAAGAAAAGAAGAAAAAAAAAAAAAAGAGGAAGAAGAAGCUGUUCGCGGAGGCAGGGGAGAAGAAGAUGAACAGUAGAAGAGGAAAAAAAACAAAAAAAAAAGAAAAGAAAAAGAAAGAAAGGAAAAGGAAAUAGGAAAUGUUGGGAAAAAAAUUAUAGAAAAUAGAAAAUUAUAUUUCGGAAAUAUCCUGGAGAUUUUGGUGAGAAAAACGGCCCAGGCACGCUUUUCGGGAAUAUAGCAAGCAUAUCAAGGAAAUCGGAGAUGCUAAGUCAAGGAUGUUUUGAGGCUUAAGUUGAAGUGACUGGUGUAAAUUUUGAGGUUGGCACGCAAAUCGAGGCGAUGCACGCACUUCGAGACAUGCGCGAAUAUCGAGAUAACUUGAUAAGCUUGAGAAGGUGGCAGCAUGUCUGUUGAUUUGCAUCACUUGGUUGCCCACAUAUAUAUAUGCGGACGGAUAUAAGGAGAAAGUAUUCUGCUCUCUCUCACUCUCUCAUUCUCUCUCGCCCUUUGUUAUAGAAACCCUAACUCUGAAAUCUGAUCCCUUCUAUGUAUUUUUGAUGUAUUGUGUGUGAACAAUCGAUGCUUCUGAGAGUGCUCUUGAUUCUUGCUGAGAUUGCAAGUUUGUGCUUCUUUAUUUGCAUCGUAUAUCACUGUAAGUUGGGUUUUUUCAGUUUAUAGGGUUUGGAUUAUUGUAAUCCUAUUUUGUGUAAUCUUGUUGCUCGG
Molecule: long non-coding RNA, 1237 nt
Organism: Diospyros lotus (date-plum)
Lineage: Eukaryota; Viridiplantae; Streptophyta; Magnoliopsida; Ericales; Ebenaceae
Exons: 3
Source: RefSeq, a predicted model, not a curated record